Neofelis nebulosa (Clouded leopard) is the source of this 965-nucleotide long non-coding RNA. RefSeq lists it as uncharacterized. The transcript is spliced from 3 exons. The record is from RefSeq and is a predicted model, not a curated record. NCBI's taxonomy places the organism in Eukaryota, Metazoa, Chordata, Mammalia, Carnivora, Felidae.
CCCUGGACCUCCAACAGCCCAAGAUGAUUCUCUGUGCAGCAGCCUCAGCAGCCACCUGAGAUGCAACACAAUGUCCCUGGUCAGCACGGGCGGCCACCCUACUCCACAGUGAUCCAGCCCAGAGCCCCUCAGUGCAGUGAUGAAGACCCGGGCUGCAGAGGCUGGGCUGUGGCACACAGCUGUCUUCAGGAGGACGAGCAAUCUAACAUACCAAGGCCUCUGACAUCAGAGGAGAAGCUAUUUUUUUCAUUGGAAAAAUAUUUCAGAUGAUAUGAAUCAUACACAGUAAAGUUGAAAACAGACCAAAGUGGGUUUUGCUGUUGCCAAAACCCACUUCUACAGGGCCUGGCCAGAGGAUUUCCAUCCCUGAGCACUGGACCAGGAAUGUUCCCAGCACAGGGACUCUGGCAGGGAGAAUCUGUGUCUGUAUGGUCCCCUGUACGUGCUGAGGAGAUUGGCCAGCAGUGGGCUGCCUUCAGGUGUCCAUCCCAGGGAAGGCAGUGCUUGCAGCAACUGCCUGGCCUGGUUCCAUCUGAGGCAUCAGUGGUUCCCGUGAACACGAGCAGAACCUGGAGCUGUCAUCCACGUGUGGCCCAUGACAGUGGCAGCUUUGUGAUACCCUGUGCCAUGUCCAGUCUCCACAUUGGUAAGUGUAUGUCUGAGCAGCAGGUCAGCCUGGGGCAGGGACCAUGGUUCCCAGGGCCCCUCCAGAAGUGCUUUCAGAGCAGUGCUUGCAUUUGUUAGACCCUCUGAGUGGGGGGAGUCACAGUCCUGGUCCCAGAGAUCCUGGAAGUCUGCCUAAACUCCUGAGACUCAGCUUUCUCACCUGUAAAAUGGGAGUGUGGUUCCCACCUUUUGGGGGUAGGGGAAGAAUGAAGGAAAUCACAUUGUAAAUGACUAGUGUAGUAGAGGAACUUGGUGAUGUCAUCAUGAUGUGCUUUUCAGGGGGCAUUGAAAUGUGAUGG